Molecule: long non-coding RNA, 2425 nt
Filed under: Olea europaea (common olive)
Lineage: Eukaryota; Viridiplantae; Streptophyta; Magnoliopsida; Lamiales; Oleaceae
Description: long non-coding RNA (OEUR_LNC001327)
Rfam family: tRNA (bases 1182-1253)
Source: RNAcentral
CGAUUCUCGGAAUGCCCCAUUUUAUGAAUUAUUUUGGUCAACCACAAAGCACUUUUUUAUUUCCUAGUCAAACCUGGACAGAUCUGCUAUCAAAUUAAAGAAUCAAACACUUAAAACAAAAAUAAACUAAUAUUAAUAUCACAAGUGCUAAAGCUAGAUAAUGUAAAACUUAUUAAUAUAUAGUUGAUGGGUUACUGGAAGGAUUAUGUAUUGUUGACUCAAUUGCCUCAAUAAUGUAAUAUGUUGAGGAAACAGUUACUGCCCUCUGAAAGGUCUUAAUAUUAUUGGUUCAGUUGCUGGUCUUAAUAAUUCAACCUAUGCAUGAAAAAUUUAUUGCCCUAUCACUUCCAGUGUCAUCAGAUUCAAAGUUUAAAAGGAAAUUUCUCACAAAGGUUGCCGGCAAGAUUCUACUAAAGUCUAAAUGUGACUAAGAAUAUAGAAAAAGGGACAUUACUAUGUCAAGGAAAAAUCAAGAAUCAGUUUGCUAUUAUAAACUGCAUAUUUUAGUAAAUAUAAAAACCAAAUAAUAGGGGUAUUGAAAGUCCACUAUGGGAAAUAGAAAUAUCAAGUUUUGGCAUCAAAUAAUUUAGCAAGAUACAUAAAUUCAAGUGAAUUUAACCAAUGACACUAAACUCACCUGCACAAUUCACUGUGCUCCUUUUCAUAAUUGGAUAUUUAAAAGCGACGGCCGUUGAAACAAUGUCAGCCAGGAAUUACCUGCAUUUUCAAUUUAAAAAAAAUAAUAUUAUAUAUCCAAAUCAAUUAGAUAACUAAGAGUAUGUAAAAUUUGAGCAUGUGCGUGUAUGCAUCUGUGUGGCAAGAAGGCGAAUGUAUGAAAUCCUACUGUGAGGCUUCAGCUUCUUGACGCUCCUUGCCUAGCUUCACGUGAAAACAGUUUUAACCAGCACGUGAAUAUUUUCUUUACUUCCAGAGAUCUGAAUGACAUUGGAGUAUGGGACAAGAGGAAAUAAAAUUCUGUCAGCAGUUCACAAUACAGGAACAGGAUGUAUUACAUACACAAAUUUGAAAAAAAUAAAUAAAUAAAUUCAAGACAUAUAACAAUGAUAGUGACACUGGAGACCAAAAAAAAAAAAAUUUCCUUCACUUCAAGACUUAUUUACCCAGUGCAUACGACUACUUAUGUGGAGUAAAUAUUUAGAUGAGUGCUAAAAAUCGUAAUAGGGCAUUUGGUCUAGUGGUAUGAUUCUCGCUUUGGGUGCGAGAGGUCCCGAGUUCAAUUCUCGGAAUGCCCCAUUUUAUGAAUUAUUUUAGUCAACCACAAAGAAUUUUUUUAUUUCCUAGUCAAACCUGUACAGAUCUGCUAUGAAAUAAAAGAAUCAAAGACUGAAAACAAAAAUUAACUAACAUUAACAUGACAAAGUGCUAAAACUAGAUUUAAUAAUGUAAACCUUAUUAUGACAGUUGAUGGGAUACUGGAAUAAUUAUAUAUUGUUGACUCAAUUGCCUCAAUAAUGUUACAUGAUGUGGAAAAAGUGACUGCCCACUGAAAGGUCUCAAUAUUAUUGAUUCAAUAUCUUCCCUCAAUAAUGCAACCUAUGAAAAAAAAAAUUAUUGCCCUACUGAAAGGUUUAAUUAAAUAAUGCUGAUUCUAUCACUUCUAGAGUCAAUAGAUCCAAAGUUUAAGAGGAACCUCAGAACAAAGGAUGCUGACAAGAUUGUACUAAAUAUAGACUAAGAAUAUAGAAAACGGAAUAUUAUUACAUCAAGAAGCAUCAAGAAUUAGUGUAUUACUCUAAACCGCAUAUAAAAACCAAAUAACAGAGGUAUUGAAAGUCCACGACGGUAAAUAGAAAUAUUAAGUUUUGGCAUCAAAUAACUUAGCAAGAUACAAAAAUUGAAGCAAAUUUAAUCGACACUAAACUCACCUGCACAAUUCACUGUGUGUCGAAUAAUAAGGUAUUUAAAAGCAGCCGCUAUUGACAACACAUGUCAGCCAGGAAUUACCAGCAUCAGCAAUGAGAAAAAUAGUAUGAUCUACCCAAAGCAAUCAGAAAAUUAAGAAAACAUCAAAUCAUGCAAAUAAGCCUUGAGAGCAUGUACAUGUGUACAUCUGCAUGGCAUGAAGGUGAAUGCAUGAAAUCCAAUACUGAAACUUCAGCUUCUUGUUGCUCCUUGCCCAGCUUCAUGUGAAAACAUUUUUAAGCAGCACGUGCAUAUUUUUUUCCAGAGAUCUAAACGACAUUGGAGUGGGGCCAAGAGGAAAUAAAAUUUUGUCAGCAGUUCAUUCUACCUGUACAGGAGGUAUACAGUAUGUAUACAUCCCAAAAUUUGGAAGAAUAUAGUCUAGAUAUAUAGCAAUGAUUGGCGACACUGGAGACAUAAAAUUUUCCUUCACUGUAAGCCCAGUGUUUACUAUUUAUUAUGUGGAGUAAAGAUUUAUUUGAGUGCUAAAAUCAUCAGUAAU